UCAACUGAAUGGCCAAAGAAUCUGUGGCAUAUUCGUUUUAAACACCCCACUUUCUCAAUCAAAUACCACAUAUUCACAUAAACCUCCAUCGCACCACCUCCAUUCCUGUUCGAGCAGUUUCCUACAUUGAAGAAUCCGGUGAAUCGUCACCGCAACACACCAUCCGACUACCCUCGCUAGUCAUCUUUCCGUUGUACCAUCGGUUGGAGGUUGUCGACGUUUCAACCUUUGUUGCUGAUCACUUUGAUUAUCUUUGUUUGAUCACUCGGAAGCUCAAAAUCCUCGGUUUCGCUCCGAACAGUUUCGCUACUAAGCCACCGUACACCCUCUUAGUCGAUAAGUCGGGGCCGCUGUGUUACUCGUCUCUGCGUGAUCAGACGUCGGAAACGCCGCGACGCAUUCCUUCGACUCCGCUCCUCGACCCAAGGCCUUCGUGGUAAUUGGAAGCACCAUUAAGUUUCGUGCUAUUAUCGUUUAAGCUAAGGUACGGAUUCUGUGGUCUUUUCUCUUAGCGUUUUAUAUCGUUAUUUUAGUGUCUAGUUCAUUGAACCGUUAUCGUUGUUUCCUCAAGUAAUGAAUUGAAUUGUUCCCUUUGAUUCACAUGCGAUAGAUUAAUUCCUUAAGCUCAUUAUCGUAUGUUCCUAUUAAUCAUUGAUCAUUGCCAUGGAUGUGCCUUAUUGUACUAGUUGACUUAAGGGUACCAUUUUAUUGACCUCAAUACCCGAGCACAUCCACCUAUGGGGACAUAGGGCGUCAUCAUCGGCACCGAUGACGUGCACCAUCCGUGACGGUGCGAUUAGUUCACGGCGUCUCUAUAUUAGUAUUUAUUGUUUAUGGAUUAUUGAGAGGCGUAUGGAUCGAUCCUAUGAUAUUAUUGUUACUUAUUGGUAUUGGGAUAGGUGUGUGUGCCCACAUCCCCUUUACAUAUCGGUACAUUGGAACUGCAGCUGAUGUACACAUUGCUUAUUGUUUAUUGUCAUUGGCUCACAUGGGUAUUUCCACAUAGAUUCUUAUUGUAUUGACUGACCAUUGAUUAAUGUUGACUGUAUCGUUACAUUGUUAUUGUCAUAGUAUCGUUUCACCUUUGAUCGAAUACCGUAUUAAUCGUUACCGUUAUUGCUAUUGUUUUUCCGUUACUGGGCAAUUUUUGGCUCAGCCGUGUUUCUUUUGUUGUUUUCUCUUGGUUCUUAAACAUGUACUCAGGGGAACAUGGGGAAAAGUGCGAAGAGAGAAAAUUAAAUGGCUAGAGUUGGAAAUAAGGAGUCUAAAUAAAUUGCUAUUUAAAUUUUAGACAUUUUUAUUUUCGUUAAAACCGUUGUGUGGUUUUAGAUUUUUAAACCUUUGGAGUUAAUGUUUUAUUUGAGUUACGUUUUUUUAUGUCUCUGAUUACUGUAUUGGGUGACACGUCAGC
Helianthus annuus (common sunflower) is the source of this 1411-nucleotide long non-coding RNA. RefSeq lists it as uncharacterized. The record is from RefSeq and is a predicted model, not a curated record. NCBI's taxonomy places the organism in Eukaryota, Viridiplantae, Streptophyta, Magnoliopsida, Asterales, Asteraceae. The transcript has 3 exons.